CCCUUAGAUGUUCUGGGCCGCACGCGCGCUACACUGAUGCAUUCAACGAGUUUCUUCCUGGUCCGAGAGGAAUGGGUAACCUUUUGAAAGUGCAUCGUGAUAGGGAUAGACUAUUGCAAUUAUUGGUCUUCAACGAGGAAUUCCUAGUAGACGUAGUUCAUCAGACUGCAUCGAUUACGUCCCUGCCCUUUGUACACACCGCCCGUCGCUCCUACCGAUUGUAUGCUCAGGUGAGCCAUUCGGACUUUCAUCAUGCUGGUUUCCAGUUUUGAUGAAGGAAAGUCUUGCGAACCUUAUCAUUUAGAGGAAGGAGAAGUCGUAACA
This 324-nucleotide ribosomal RNA is filed under the name uncultured eukaryote. RNAcentral's name for it is "partial 18S ribosomal RNA". It matches the Rfam family "Eukaryotic small subunit ribosomal RNA", at positions 1470 to 1796 of the family's 1831-position model. The record is from RNAcentral.